Molecule: small nuclear RNA, 161 nt
Organism: Ipomoea nil (Japanese morning glory)
Lineage: Eukaryota; Viridiplantae; Streptophyta; Magnoliopsida; Solanales; Convolvulaceae
Rfam family: U1 spliceosomal RNA
About the family: U1 is a small nuclear RNA (snRNA) component of the spliceosome (involved in pre-mRNA splicing). Its 5' end forms complementary base pairs with the 5' splice junction, thus defining the 5' donor site of an intron.
Source: Rfam
AUACUUACCUGGACGGGGUCAAUGGGUGAUCAUGAAGCCCCGUGGCCUAGGCAGGUGACUUCCAUUGCACUUUGGAGGGGUACUAGCCUAAGGUCUACCCAUGUGGUGGAGCCUACGUCAUAAUUUGUGGUAGAGGGGGCUUGCGUUCGCGUAGCCCCUCC